CCAUGGCUUUUCGACCACGACAGACCAGUCGUAUACACAAAAAAUUUUUCUGUAUAUAAAACGAUAACUGUACCUAUAAAUCAAAAGAAGCUACAACCACAAAGUAAGAGCUGCUAAAACUGAAAAGUAAUAUAUAAAACCACGAGGGGUUCCAGUACAUACAAAUGCCUACAACACAACUCGCUCCAGCGAGUACCCUGACAACAUCACAGUAUGUACAAGAAAAAUUCAAAACUACUUCUG
RNAcentral lists this long non-coding RNA (243 nucleotides) under Ananas comosus (pineapple). RNAcentral describes it as "long non-coding RNA (ACOM_LNC014021)". Lineage: Eukaryota; Viridiplantae; Streptophyta; Magnoliopsida; Poales; Bromeliaceae. The record is from RNAcentral.